CUACCACAUCUAAGGAAGGCAGCAGGCGCGUAAAUUACCCAAUCCUGACUCAGGGAGGUAGUGACAAGAAAUAACGGACCGAAGCCUAUGUUUCGGGAUUGCAAUGAGUUGAAUUUACACCCCUUUACGAGGAUCAAUUGGAGGGCAAGUCUGGUGCCAGCAGCCGCGGUAAUUCCAGCUCCAAUAGCGCAUAUUAAAGUUGUUGCAGUUAAAAAGCUCGUAGUUGGAUUUCUGGGAGGGUGCCAAUGUCCGCUUGUUGCGUGUGCAGCGGCGCCCUCCCAUCCUUCUGUUAACGUUUCUGAUAUUCACUUAUUGGUCUCGGGCUCAGAUAUUUUACCUUGAGAAAAUUAGAGUGUUCCAGGCAGGCUUGCGCCGGAAUACAUUAGCAUGGAAUAAUAGAAUAGGACUUUAGUCUCCUUUGUUGGUUUGAGGGACUGAAGUAAUGAUUAAUAGGGAUAGUUGGGGGCAUUAGUAUUUAAUUGUCAGAGGUGAAAUUCUCGGAUUUGUUAAAGACUAACUUAUGCGAAAGCAUUUGCCAAGGAUGUUUU
This 548-nucleotide ribosomal RNA is filed under the name uncultured ciliate. Its description in RNAcentral is "SSU rRNA". It matches the Rfam family "Eukaryotic small subunit ribosomal RNA", at positions 407 to 970 of the family's 1831-position model. Lineage: Eukaryota; Ciliophora. The record is from RNAcentral.